Molecule: ribosomal RNA, 520 nt
Filed under: uncultured Archaeospora
Lineage: Eukaryota; Fungi; Glomeromycota; Glomeromycetes; Archaeosporales; Archaeosporaceae
Description: SSU rRNA
Rfam family: Eukaryotic small subunit ribosomal RNA
Source: RNAcentral
AGCAGCCGCGGUAAUUCCAGCUCCAAUAGCGUAUAUUAAAGUUGUUGCAGUUAAAAAGCUCGUAGUUGAAUUUUGGAUUCGGCCAAUUGGUCCAUCUUUUAGAUGAGUACUGGUUGUGUUGGGUCUAUCCGCCUGGUGAUACGUAAUGUCCUUUAUUGGAUGUUGCGGGUAGUCAGGACCUUUACCUUGAAAAAAUUAGAAGUGUUUAAAGCAGGCUUAUGCCGGAAUACAUUAGCAUGGAAUAAUAGAAUAGGACGAAGUUGUUCUAUUUUGUUGGUUUCUAGGACCACCGUAAUGAUUAAUAGGGAUAGUUGGGGGCAUUAGUAUUCGAAUUGUCAGAGGUGAAAUUCUUGGAUUUAUUGAAGACUAACUACUGCGAAAGCAUUUGCCAAGGAUGUUUUCAUUAAUCAAGAACGAAAGUUAGGGGAUCGAAGACGAAUCAGAUACCGUCGUAGUCUUAACCAUAAACUAUGCCGACUAGGAAUCAGACGAUGUUAAUUUUUAAUGACUCGUUUGGCAC